This is a long non-coding RNA of Astyanax mexicanus (Mexican tetra), 324 nucleotides long. RefSeq lists it as uncharacterized. Lineage: Eukaryota; Metazoa; Chordata; Actinopteri; Characiformes; Acestrorhamphidae. The record is from RefSeq and is a predicted model, not a curated record. The transcript has 3 exons.
GGGUUAGAUUUUAGGGUUGGUUAAGGUUAGGGUUAGGUGUAGGGUUAGAUUUUAUGGUUGAUUCAGGGUUAAGGUUAGGGUUAGGUGUAGGGUUAGAUUUUAGGGUUGAUUAAGGGUUAAGGUUAGGGUUAGGUGUAGGGUUAGAUUUUAGGGUAGAUUAAGGGUUAAGGUUAGGGUUAGGUGUAGGGUUAGAUUUUAGGGUUGAUUAAGGUUAAGGUUAGGGUUAGGUGUAGGGUUAGAUUUUAGGGUUGAUUAAGGGUUAAGGUUAGGGUUAGGUGUAGGGUUAGAUUUUAGGGUUGAUUAAGGGUUAAGGUUAGGGUUAGG